GAAAUGCGAUAAGUAAUGUGAAUUGCAGAAUUCAGUGAAUCAUCGAAUCUUUGAACGCACAUUGCGCCCUCUGGUAUUCCGGAGGGCAUGCCUGUUCGAGCGUCAUUUCAACCCUCAAGCCUGGCUUGGUGUUGGGGCACUGCGUCUCUCGCGGGAUGCAGGCCCUGAAAUUCAUUGGCGAGCUCGCCAGGACCCCGAGCGCAGUAGUUAAACCCUCGCUCUGGAAGGCCCUGGCGGUGCCCUGCCGUUAAACCCCCAACUUCUGAAAAUUUGACCUCGGAUCAGGUAGGAAUACCCGCUGAACUUAA
This 308-nucleotide unclassified non-coding RNA is filed under the name uncultured Diaporthe. RNAcentral's name for it is "sequence contains ITS1". The stretch from base 1 to 105 matches the Rfam family "5.8S ribosomal RNA", at positions 50 to 154 of the family's 154-position model. The record is from RNAcentral. Lineage: Eukaryota; Fungi; Ascomycota; Sordariomycetes; Diaporthales; Diaporthaceae.